AGGACGAACGCUGGCGGCGUGCUUAACACAUGCAAGUGGAGCGACGAACCAGGCUUCGGCCUGGGGCAGAGCCGCGAACGGGUGAGUAACACGUGGGUAACCCACCCCGAUGACCGGGACAACCCGAGGAAACUCGAGCUAAUGCCGGAUGAGCUCCUCUCUCAUGAGGGAGAGGAGGAAAGAUAGCUUCGGCCUUCGCAUCGGGACGGGCCCGCGGCGCAUUAGCUUGUUGGUGGGUAAAGGCCUACCAAGGCUACGAUGCGUAGCUGGUCUGAGAGGACGAUCAGCCACACUGGGACUGAGACACGGCCCAGACUCCUACGGGAGGCAGCAGUGGGGAAUCUUGCGCAAUGCGCGAAAGCGUGACGCAGCAACGCCGCGUGGGGGAAGAAGGCCUUCGGGUUGUAAACCCUUUCAGCAGGGACGAUUAUGACGGUACCUGCAGAAGAAGGACCGGCCAACUACGUGCCAGCAGCCGC
Molecule: ribosomal RNA, 479 nt
Filed under: uncultured bacterium
Lineage: Bacteria
Description: SSU rRNA
Rfam family: Bacterial small subunit ribosomal RNA
Source: RNAcentral